CAACCCCAUUUCUAAGGUUGACCUCGGAUCAGGUAGGGAUACCCGCUGAACUUAAGCAUAUCAAUAAGCGGAGG
This 74-nucleotide ribosomal RNA is filed under the name Cladosporium cladosporioides. RNAcentral's name for it is "partial 28S ribosomal RNA". The stretch from base 19 to 74 matches the Rfam family "Eukaryotic large subunit ribosomal RNA", at positions 1 to 56 of the family's 3401-position model. Lineage: Eukaryota; Fungi; Ascomycota; Dothideomycetes; Cladosporiales; Cladosporiaceae. The record is from RNAcentral.